UACGGAGGAGGCAAGCGUUAUCCGGAAUUAUUGGGCGUAAAGAGCUCGUAGGCGGUCUGUCGCGUCGGCUGUGAAAUCCCGAGGCUCAACCUCGGGUCUGCAGUCGAUACGGGCAAACUAGAGUAUUGCAGGGGAGACUGGAAUUCCUGGUGUAGCGGUGAAAUGCGCAGAUAUCAGGAGGAACACCGGUGGCGAAGGCGGGUCUCUGGGCAAUAACUGACGCUGAGGAGCGAAAGCGUGGGGAGCGAACAGG
RNAcentral lists this ribosomal RNA (253 nucleotides) under uncultured bacterium. Its description in RNAcentral is "partial 16S ribosomal RNA". It matches the Rfam family "Bacterial small subunit ribosomal RNA", at positions 524 to 776 of the family's 1533-position model. The record is from RNAcentral.